Molecule: non-coding RNA, 27 nt
Filed under: Cricetulus griseus (Chinese hamster)
Lineage: Eukaryota; Metazoa; Chordata; Mammalia; Rodentia; Cricetidae
Source: RNAcentral
AAGAAUUGUGGCUUCAUAACAAAAUGC